GACGAACGCUGGCGGCGUGCUUAACACAUGCAAGUCGAACGGAAAGGCCCUGCUUUUGUGGGGUGCUCGAGUGGCGAACGGGUGAGUAACACGUGAGUAACCUGCCCUUGACUUUGGGAUAACUUCAGGAAACUGGGGCUAAUACCGGAUAGGAGCUCCUGCUGCAUGGCGGGGGUUGGAAAGUUUCGGCGGUUGGGGAUGGACUUGCGGCUUAUCAGCUUGUUGGUGGGGUAGUGGCUUACCAAGGCUUUGACGGUUAGCCGGCCUGAGAGGGUGACCGGCCACAUUGGGACUGGGAUACGGCCCAGACUCCUACGUGAGGCAGCAGUGGAGAAUAUUGCACAAUGGGCGGAAGCCUGAUGCAGCAACGCCGCGUGCGGGAUGACGGCCUUCGGGUUGUAAACCGCUUUCGCCUGUGACGAAGCGUGAGUGACGGUAAUGGGUAAGGAAGCACCGGCUAACUACGUG
RNAcentral lists this ribosomal RNA (468 nucleotides) under uncultured bacterium. RNAcentral's name for it is "partial 16S ribosomal RNA". It matches the Rfam family "Bacterial small subunit ribosomal RNA", at positions 28 to 507 of the family's 1533-position model. The record is from RNAcentral.